Molecule: ribosomal RNA, 491 nt
Filed under: uncultured bacterium
Lineage: Bacteria
Description: bacterial SSU rRNA
Rfam family: Bacterial small subunit ribosomal RNA
Source: RNAcentral
AGAGUUUGAUCAUGGCUCAGGAUGAACGCUGGCGGCGUGCCUAAUACAUGCAAGUCGAGCGGUAAGGCUUUCACUCUGUAUUUAAUGAGUUGAAUAUAGUGUGAAAGUACACGAGCGGCGGACGGCUGAGUAACGCGUAGGAACGUACCCCAAAGUGAGGGAUAAGCACCGGAAACGGUGUCUAAUACCGCAUGUGAUCUUCGGAUUAAAGCUUUAUGCGCUUUGGGAGCGGCCUGCGUAAGAUUAGUUUGUUGGUGAGGUAAUGGCUCACCAAGACUACGAUCUUUAGCUGGUCUGAGAGGAUGAUCAGCCAGACUGGGACUGAGACACGGCCCAGACUCCUACGGGAGGCAGCAGUAGGGAAUUUCCACAAUGGACGAAAGUCUGAUGGAGCAACGCCGCGUGCAGGAUGAAGGCCUUCGGGUUGUAAACUGCUUUUAUCUGUGACGAUUAUGACGGUAGCAGAUGAAUAAGGAUCGGCUAACUCCGUG